AUCCGGACGGUAGAAUUCAGAAUCGAUCGAGUGUGUACGAAAUUCGCGUCUAUUUGAUAUUUCUACCGUCGUUCUAACGGACGUUGCGACCCGUUUAACGUUGGUUUCGCCUGCGAAGAAGUUUACUGGCGGCCGUCGGCCUCGGCCGUACGCGUCGUUUUUAGUAAGCUCGCAGCGUUUCGAAUCCAUCUUGUUGAACGGUACGUGUAAACGGUGUCUCUCCUUGCGGGAGUACCGGUCUGCAACGAUUUUUCGGGUUUCUUUCCGACCCGUCUUGAAACACGGACCAAGGAGUCUAACGUACACGCGAGUCGCGGGGCAUCGAAUCGGCAUUAUAUAUCGGCCGUUCGUUAUUUAAACGAAACCCGUAAGGCGUAAUGAAAGUAAAUGGGGAAGACGGUGUACCGCGAUAACGUUCGAUCUCGUAAUCGAGCCCGGUCGCCGGCAUUCCCAGGGCGUUUUAAAGGGCGACCCGUAUCGGUUCGCCGUUACGGGUCGAACUGAGGCGCACCUG
Molecule: ribosomal RNA, 514 nt
Filed under: Conchaspis nr. lepagei D3008A
Lineage: Eukaryota; Metazoa; Arthropoda; Insecta; Hemiptera; Conchaspididae
Description: partial 28S ribosomal RNA
Source: RNAcentral